Molecule: transfer RNA, 61 nt
Filed under: Ictidomys tridecemlineatus (thirteen-lined ground squirrel)
Lineage: Eukaryota; Metazoa; Chordata; Mammalia; Rodentia; Sciuridae
Description: Spermophilus tridecemlineatus (thirteen-lined ground squirrel) tRNA
Rfam family: tRNA
About the family: Transfer RNA (tRNA) molecules are approximately 80 nucleotides in length.
Source: Rfam by way of RNAcentral
UGUAGCCUAGUGGUAGAGUGCUUGCAUGGCAAGCAUGAGGCCCUGGGUUCAAGCCCCAGUA